Passer domesticus (house sparrow) is the source of this 419-nucleotide long non-coding RNA. RefSeq lists it as uncharacterized. The transcript has 3 exons. NCBI's taxonomy places the organism in Eukaryota, Metazoa, Chordata, Aves, Passeriformes, Passeridae. The record is from RefSeq and is a predicted model, not a curated record.
AGACUAUUAGAUAUGGGUUGUGAACAUUUCAGCUGUAAAUUUUUUUGCAAUUUUAUUUUAAUUCUGAUAUUGCCAUUGAGAGGUAUAUUUGGGGAACAAAUCAGGGUUACAUUAAAGGUAGAACAGGUGAUGCAAAAUAUUUAUGAAGUUAUCUUCUAUGGCUGAGGACUACCCUAAGGCUCCUUUUGGGUACUGGAAGGCUGCAAUUACCUCACCCCUAGGCCAUCUCUUCUCCAGGCUGCACAACCCCAACACUUCCAGCCUGUCUUCACAGGACAGCUGCUCCAUCCAUCUAAUAAUCUUGGUGGCCUCAUCUUGACUCUCUCCAACAGAUCAGUCUCCUUCUUUUGUUGCAGACCCCAGAGCUGGAUGCAGCCCUGCAGGUGGGGUCUCACCAGAGCAGAGCAGAGGGCCGAAAU